CUCAGUAAUUGGCCGACAAAAGCAUCACCGACAAAAGACAAAGGACAGCUCAAAAGAAAAAAGCAUCAAGUGACGCAGCGAUGCACUCAGUAAUUGGCCAAUAAAAGCAUCACCGACAAAAGACAAAGGACAGCUCAAAAGAAAAAGCAUCAAGUGACACCGACAAAAGACAAAGGACAGCUCAAAAGAAAAAGUAUCAAAUUGAAUUGAAGAAAAAUUUGAAAUCCGCUUCUAUAAAUAGAGCUAUGUAUUUCAU
This 256-nucleotide long non-coding RNA is filed under the name Manihot esculenta (cassava). RNAcentral's name for it is "long non-coding RNA (MESC_LNC001189)". The record is from RNAcentral. Lineage: Eukaryota; Viridiplantae; Streptophyta; Magnoliopsida; Malpighiales; Euphorbiaceae.